Molecule: ribosomal RNA, 492 nt
Filed under: uncultured bacterium
Lineage: Bacteria
Description: partial 16S ribosomal RNA
Rfam family: Bacterial small subunit ribosomal RNA
Source: RNAcentral
AGUGAACGCUGGCGGUAGGCCUAACACAUGCAAGUCGAACGGCAGCACAGUAAGAGCUUGCUCUUACGGGUGGCGAGUGGCGGACGGGUGAGGAAUACAUCGGAAUCUACUUUUUCGUGGGGGAUAACGUAGGGAAACUUACGCUAAUACCGCAUACGACCUACGGGUGAAAGCAGGGGAUCUUCGGACCUUGCGCGAUUGAAUGAGCCGGUGUCGGAUUAGCUAGUUGGCGUGGUAAAGGCCCACCAAGGCAACGAUCCGUAGCUGGUCUGAGAGGAUGAUCAGCCACACUGGAACUGAGACACGGUCCAGACUCCUACGGGAGGCAGCAGUGGGGAAUAUUGGACAAUGGGCGCAAGCCUGACCCAGCCAUACCGCGUGAGUGAAGAAGGCCUUCGGGUUGUAAAGCCCUUUUGUUAGGAAAGAAAAGCAGCAGGUGAAUCCACCCCUGUUCUGACGGUACCCAAACAGUAAGCCACGGCUAACUUCGUG